Molecule: ribosomal RNA, 266 nt
Filed under: Haemaphysalis erinacei
Lineage: Eukaryota; Metazoa; Arthropoda; Arachnida; Ixodida; Ixodidae
Description: partial large subunit ribosomal RNA
Source: RNAcentral
CUUUAAUUGAGUGCUAAAAGAAUGGAUUGUCAAAAAAAUUCUUUCUUAAAAUUAAAAAUUGAAAUUAUUUUUAUUUGUGAAGAAACAAUAAUAUCAAUUAAGGACAAGAAGACCCUACGAAUUUUAAUAAAUUUUAAUUUAUAAGAUUAUAAAUUAAAAUUCUAUUUAAUUGGGGCGAUUUAAAAAUAUUUAAAACUUUUUUUUUAAAAAUAUGAACCAUUAUUAAUGAUAUCAUGAAAAAAAUACUCUAGGGAUAACAGCGUAAA